RNAcentral lists this ribosomal RNA (253 nucleotides) under uncultured bacterium. RNAcentral describes it as "partial 16S ribosomal RNA". It matches the Rfam family "Bacterial small subunit ribosomal RNA", at positions 524 to 776 of the family's 1533-position model. The record is from RNAcentral.
UACAUGGGGUGCAAACGUUGCUCGGAAUUAUUGGGCGUAAAGCGCGCGUAGGCGGUUACUCAAGUCGGAUGUGAAAGCCCUCGGCUUAACUGAGGAAGUGCACCCGAAACUGAGUAGCUAGAGUACUAAAGAGGGUCGCGGAAUUCCCGGUGUAGAGGUGAAAUUCGUAGAUAUUGGGAGGAACACCGGUGGCGAAGGCGGCCAUCUGGGAGGGCACUGACGCUGAGACGCGAAAGCGUGGGGAGCAAACAGG